This 244-nucleotide long non-coding RNA is filed under the name Mytilus galloprovincialis (Mediterranean mussel). Lineage: Eukaryota; Metazoa; Mollusca; Bivalvia; Mytilida; Mytilidae. The record is from RNAcentral.
AUAAUUUGUAGUUAAUCAUUAUCUUAAAAUAAAUUUGUAAGUGGUGGUUAUAUGAGAAAAUAAAUUUGUAAGUGGUGGUUAUAUGAGGAGUGUUUUUGAUUUACUACAAAAAAUACUCGUUUUGAUGUUGAAAUCUAGAUACAGGUACACCAGUCUUCAUUUUAGUUCUUUAAAUUUUGGACUCAAAAAGAGAUGUGACAAAGCACAAUGAAAAUUAGUUUUUUCUUCUACUUUGCAAAUUAAG